RNAcentral lists this ribosomal RNA (497 nucleotides) under uncultured bacterium. RNAcentral's name for it is "partial 16S ribosomal RNA". It matches the Rfam family "Bacterial small subunit ribosomal RNA", at positions 28 to 507 of the family's 1533-position model. The record is from RNAcentral.
GAUGAACGCUGGCGGCGUGCCUAAUACAUGCAAGUCGAGCGAACAGACGAGGAGCUUGCUCCUCUGACGUUAGCGGCGGACGGGUGAGUAACACGUGGAUAACCUACCUAUAAGACUGGGAUAACUUCGGGAAACCGGAGCUAAUACCGGAUAAUAUAUUGAACCGCAUGGUUCAAUAGUGAAAGACGGCUUUGCUGUCACUUAUAGAUGGAUCCGCGCCGCAUUAGCUAGUUGGUAAGGUAACGGCUUACCGAGGCAACGAUGCGUAGCCGACCUGAGAGGGUGAUCGGCCACACUGGAACUGAGACACGGUCCAGACUCCUACGGGAGGCAGCAGUAGGGAAUCUUCCGCAAUGGGCGAAAGCCUGACGGAGCAACGCCGCGUGAGUGAUGAAGGUCUUCGGAUCGUAAAACUCUGUUAUUAGGGAAGAACAAAUGUGUAAGUAACUAUGCACGUCUUGACGGUACCUAAUCAGAAAGCCACGGCUAACUACGUG